AGUCGAGAAUCUUCGGCAAUGAGCGCAAGCUUGACCGAGCGAUGCCGCGUGCGGGAUGAAGGCCCUCGGGUUGUAAACCGCUGUCGUAGGGGAGGAAGGCUCCGUGAAGAGCGGGGUUUGACCUAUCCUAGGAGGAAGUACGGGCUAAGUACGUGCCAGCAGCCGCGGUAAUACGUACCGUACGAACGUUAUUCGGAAUUACUGGGCUUAAAGGGUUUGUAGGCGGCCACGUAAGUCAGGUGUGAAAUCCCUCGGCUCAACCGAGGAACGGCGCUUGAUACUGCGUGGCUUGAGGGAGACAGGGGUAAGCGGAACUGAUGGUGGAGCGGUGAAAUGCGUUGAUAUCAUCAGGAACACCGGUGGCGAAAGCGGCUUACUGGGUCUCUUCUGACGCUGAGGAACGAAAGCUAGGGUAGCGAA
RNAcentral lists this ribosomal RNA (420 nucleotides) under uncultured Planctomycetaceae bacterium. RNAcentral's name for it is "bacterial SSU rRNA". It matches the Rfam family "Bacterial small subunit ribosomal RNA", at positions 353 to 772 of the family's 1533-position model. The record is from RNAcentral. Lineage: Bacteria; Pseudomonadati; Planctomycetota; Planctomycetia; Planctomycetales; Planctomycetaceae.